This 85-nucleotide transfer RNA is filed under the name Felis catus (domestic cat). It matches the Rfam family "tRNA". Rfam says of the family: Transfer RNA (tRNA) molecules are approximately 80 nucleotides in length. Lineage: Eukaryota; Metazoa; Chordata; Mammalia; Carnivora; Felidae. The record is from Rfam by way of RNAcentral.
GCCUGGGUGGCUCAGUCAGCUGAGCGUCCGACUUCGGCUCAGGUCAUAAUCUCACAAUCCGUGGGUUUGAGUCCCGCAUCAGGCA